This 24-nucleotide microRNA is filed under the name Ananas comosus (pineapple). RNAcentral's name for it is "microRNA s1129_c006b". Lineage: Eukaryota; Viridiplantae; Streptophyta; Magnoliopsida; Poales; Bromeliaceae. The record is from RNAcentral.
GUCUCCAUGCUACUAGUAUACCAG